CCCAUGGGAUUGAUUUGGAAGAGGAUCAUCCUAAAGAUGUUUUCCCACGUACUAGCAUCCCUAAUUACAAAGAAAUCAUCCUCAAAUCAUAGCCACACAUGAAAAAUGAAAGCUAAUAAAACGACAAAAAUCAAAGGAUAGAAAGAGAGGGGCAUACAAGAUGAAUUCAACAAGUUUUUUUCUACCUCAAAGAAACCAUGAAUUUAACUAUGCUUCAGAUUAGCCUACCUCCCAACAUUCUCCCACUCAUGUAAAGAAAAAGAUUAAGAACUACCACCUACAUGCUCCUCGCUCUGCCACCACCACCAACGCGCCUAGGUCCCCUCUUUCUUUCUCUCUGGUGUGUCUGCUAGAGACAAGGGGAGGGGACCCAUCCUUUUUCACAAUUUUCUAGUGUCUUAGGAUUGAGUUUAAAUAAAUUUUCAGCGAAAUCAGAUGAUUUCCAGGUCAUGUGUCCUGCAGCGACUUUAGCCAUUGCCACGACGAGAUCGCCGUUGUAGCUGUCAACUUCAUCAAUAGGCAACCAAUUUUUUUUCCUUUGUGUGCAAGGGAAGGGUGCUUCUUCUAGG
RNAcentral lists this long non-coding RNA (569 nucleotides) under Sorghum bicolor (sorghum). RNAcentral describes it as "long non-coding RNA (SBIC_LNC018324)". The record is from RNAcentral. Lineage: Eukaryota; Viridiplantae; Streptophyta; Magnoliopsida; Poales; Poaceae.